RNAcentral lists this long non-coding RNA (345 nucleotides) under Anas platyrhynchos platyrhynchos (common mallard). RNAcentral describes it as "lncRNA (ENSAPLG00000019719.1)". Lineage: Eukaryota; Metazoa; Chordata; Aves; Anseriformes; Anatidae. The record is from RNAcentral.
AUGGGGGACCCAGAACCGAGUGGUCUCGACAGUCAAGAACGGGUCCCUGAAAACAAGAAGCGAUACAGUGAGAUAUUCCGGAGCCUGGAUGACUUGGAGAUCUCCAUCGGCAACGCGUACGUAGAGAUACGGGGCAGAACCACCUCUCUGGGUCUUUGCAGCCCUAAUUUAUCAUUCCUUUUUAAUUUAUUUCAUGUCAUUCCUUUUCAUUUUACAGGACAGUUGAUUUGUUCAUUGGUGAUGCUGACGGCACUGACGACACAGACCUGUCUGCAGAAAGAGAGAUCGUUCCGGUAGGCAAAGAAUUACCCGUCUUAAUAAAAAAAUUAACAGUGUCUUUUGCCA